Long non-coding RNA from Oncorhynchus keta (chum salmon), 1080 nucleotides. RefSeq lists it as uncharacterized. The transcript is spliced from 5 exons. The record is from RefSeq and is a predicted model, not a curated record. NCBI's taxonomy places the organism in Eukaryota, Metazoa, Chordata, Actinopteri, Salmoniformes, Salmonidae.
UCUGGGUCUCGGCUUCCUGUUGAGAGGUAGAAUACACAAGAGAAGGAAAGGAAGUCAGUCUGGGUCUCGGCUUCCUGUUGAGAGGUAGAAUACACAAGAGAAGGAAAGGAAGUCAGUCUGGGUCUCGGCUUCCUGUUGAGAGGUAGAAUACACAAGAGAAGGAAAGGAAGUCAGUCUGGGUCUCGGCUUCCUGUUGAGAGGUAGAAUACACAAGAGAAGGAAAGGAAGUCAGUCUGGGUCUCGGCUUCCUGUUGAGAGGUAGAAUACACAAGAGAAGGAAAGGAAGUCAGUCUGGGUCUCGGCUUCCUGUUGAGAGGUAGAAUACACAAGAGAAGGAAAGGAAGUCAGUCUGGGUCUCGGCUUCCUGUUGAGAGGUAGAAUACACAAGAGAAGGAAAGGAAGUCAGUCUGGGUCUCGGCUUCCUGUUGAGAGGUAGAAUACACAAGAGAAGGAAAGGAAGUCAGUCUGGGUCUCGGCUUCCUGUUGAGAGGUAGAAUACACAAGAGAAGGAAAGGAAGUCAGUCUGGGUCUCGGCUUCCUGUUGAGAGGUAGAAUACACAAGAGAAGGAAAGGAAGUCAGUCUGGGUCUCGGCUUCCUGUUGAGAGGUAGAAUACACAAGAGAAGGAAAGGAAGUCAGUCUGGGUCUCGGCUUCCUGUUGAGAGGUAGAAUACACAAGAGAAGGAAAGGAAGUCAGUCUGGGUCUCGGCUUCCUGUUGAGAGGUAGAAUACACAAGAGAAGGAAAGGAAGUCAGUCUGGGUCUCGGCUUCCUGUUGAGAGGUAGAAUACACAAGAGAAGGAAAGGAAGUCAGUCUGGGUCUCGGCUUCCUGUUGAGAGGUAGAAUACACAAGAGAAGGAAAGGAAGUCAGUCUGGGUCUCGGCUUCCUGUUGAGAGGUAGAAUACACAAGAGAAGGAAAGGAAGUCAGUCUGGGUCUCGGCUUCCUGUUGAGAGGUAGAAUACACAAGAGAAGGAAAGGAAGUCAGUCUGGGUCUCGGCUUCCUGUUGAGAGGUAGAAUACACAAGAGAAGGAAAGGAAGUCAGUCUGGGUCUCGGCUUCCUGUUGAGAGGUAGAAUACA